GGUUGCGAUCAUACCAGCACUAAUGCACCGGAUCCCAUCAGAACUCCGCAGUUAAGCGUGCUUGGGCGAGAGUAGUACUAGGAUGGGUGACCCCCUGGGAAGUCCUCGUGUUGCAAACCCCG
RNAcentral lists this ribosomal RNA (122 nucleotides) under Helianthus annuus (common sunflower). The record is from RNAcentral. Lineage: Eukaryota; Viridiplantae; Streptophyta; Magnoliopsida; Asterales; Asteraceae.